CAAGACGUAAUGCUACACUAGAAUCUUCAUCUGAAAAGAAAGAGACAGCAAGAAAGAGAAAUAGAAGAAAGAAUAAAAAGAAGAGGUAUAUUUCGUCUAAAAAAAUGUUCGUUCUAAGCAGGAUUAGAAAUUUUCGUUUGUUUCAAUUUCAUUCUGAGCAGCCAUUUUGCACAUGUGGCAUUGAGGAAACACCUUUUUCGUUUGAAAAUUAUUUGUUUCCACAAGGAAUGAGAAUCAAAAGAACGAAAUUAAACUCUGAUGGAAUAUACCCACUAUACAGCUUGUAUUAUAUUAAAUGAUUUUCACAAAUUAUUUUUGUGAAUCAUGAAAAAUUAUACCGCUCAAAAACACUUAUACAGCAAAAGGAGAAACAUGGAAUUACUAAGUUAAUAUCACAAAUGUCAAUUAUAAUUAUCACAACUAAUUACUAAUAAUAUAAAUGAUAAACCCUAUCCCAUAGUAUCCCCUUCCU
Amphimedon queenslandica is the source of this 472-nucleotide long non-coding RNA. RefSeq lists it as uncharacterized. NCBI's taxonomy places the organism in Eukaryota, Metazoa, Porifera, Demospongiae, Haplosclerida, Niphatidae. The record is from RefSeq and is a predicted model, not a curated record. The transcript has 3 exons.